GUGCUCACUUCGGCAGCACACAUACUAAAAUUGGAAUGAUACAGAGAAGAUUAGCAUGGCCCCUGUGCAAGGAUGACAUAUAAAAUAUUUCAUGUAUUU
Molecule: small nuclear RNA, 99 nt
Filed under: Jaculus jaculus (lesser Egyptian jerboa)
Lineage: Eukaryota; Metazoa; Chordata; Mammalia; Rodentia; Dipodidae
Source: RNAcentral